AGUAAAUAGAUACCCUGGUAGUCCACGCCGUAAACGAUGUCGACUUGGAGGUUGUGCCCUUGAGGCGUGGCUUCCGGAGCUAAACGCGUUAAGUCGACCGCCUGGGGAGUACGGCCGCAAGGUUAAAACUCAAAUGAAUUGACGGGGCCCGCACAAGCGGUGGAGCAUGUGGUUUAAUUCGAUGCAACGCGAAGAACCUUACCUACUCUUGACAUCCAGAGAACUUAGCAGAGAUGCUUUGGUGCCUUCGGGAACUCUGAGACAGGUGCUGCAUGGCUGUCGUCAGCUCGUGUUGUGAAAU
Molecule: ribosomal RNA, 301 nt
Filed under: uncultured bacterium
Lineage: Bacteria
Description: bacterial SSU rRNA
Rfam family: Bacterial small subunit ribosomal RNA
Source: RNAcentral